This 346-nucleotide unclassified non-coding RNA is filed under the name soil metagenome. RNAcentral describes it as "partial contains 5.8S ribosomal RNA, internal transcribed spacer 2, and large subunit ribosomal RNA". The stretch from base 5 to 119 matches the Rfam family "5.8S ribosomal RNA", at positions 40 to 154 of the family's 154-position model. The record is from RNAcentral.
GAUGAGAACGUAGCGAAAUGCGAUAACUAAUGUGAAUUGCAGAAUUCAGUGAAUCAUCGAGUCUUUGAACGCACAUUGCGCCCUCUGGUAUUCCGGAGGGCAUGCCUGUCCGAGCGUCAUUGCUGCCCUCCAGCCCGGCUGGUGUGUUGGGCCCCGUCCCCCUUCCCGGGGGGACGGGCCCGAAAGGCAGCGGCGGCACCGCGUCCGGUCCUCGAGCGUAUGGGGCUUUGUCACCCGCUCUUGUAGGCCCGGCCGGCGCCAGCCGACCCCCUCAAUCUAUUUUUCAGGUUGACCUCGGAUCAGGUAGGGAUACCCGCUGAACUUAAGCAUAUCAAUAAGCGGAGGA